GACGAACGCUGGCGGCGUGCCUAAUACAUGCAAGUUGAGCGCUGAAGGUUGGUACUUGUACCAACUGGAUGAGCAGCGAACGGGUGAGUAACGCGUGGGGAAUCUGCCUUUGAGCGGGGGACAACAUUUGGAAACGAAUGCUAAUACCGCAUAAAAACUUUAAACACAAGUUUUAAGUUUGAAAGAUGCAAUUGCAUCACUCAAAGAUGAUCCCGCGUUGUAUUAGCUAGUUGGUGAGGUAAAGGCUCACCAAGGCGAUGAUACAUAGCCGACCUGAGAGGGUGAGCGGCCACAUUGGGACUGAGACCCGGCCCAAACUCCUACGGGAGGCAGCAGUAGGGAAUCUUCGGCAAUGGACGAAAGUCUGACCGAGCAACGCCGCGGGAGUGAAGAAGGUUUUCGGAUCGUAAAACUCUGUUGGUAGAGAAGAACGUUGGUGAGAGUGGAAAGCUCAUCAAGUGACGGUAACUACCCAGAAAGGGACGGCUAACUACGUG
RNAcentral lists this ribosomal RNA (497 nucleotides) under uncultured bacterium. Its description in RNAcentral is "partial 16S ribosomal RNA". It matches the Rfam family "Bacterial small subunit ribosomal RNA", at positions 28 to 507 of the family's 1533-position model. The record is from RNAcentral.